RNAcentral lists this unclassified non-coding RNA (155 nucleotides) under uncultured Sordariomycetes. RNAcentral describes it as "sequence contains ITS2". The record is from RNAcentral. Lineage: Eukaryota; Fungi; Ascomycota; Sordariomycetes.
CAACCCUUAAGCCUUAGCUGCUUAGCGUUGGGAAUUUACGUGCAGUAAUUCCUCAAAGUUAGUGGCGGAGUUGGAUCAGACUCUAAGCGCAGUAAUUUACCUCUCGCUUCUGCAGCUGGUCCGGCCCCUGCCGUAAAACCUACCCUAUAACAAGU